This 429-nucleotide ribosomal RNA is filed under the name Chloroflexota bacterium. RNAcentral's name for it is "Chloroflexi bacterium partial 16S ribosomal RNA". It matches the Rfam family "Bacterial small subunit ribosomal RNA", at positions 355 to 776 of the family's 1533-position model. Lineage: Bacteria; Bacillati; Chloroflexota. The record is from RNAcentral.
UGGGGAAUAUUGCACAAUGGGCGCAAGCCUGAUGCAGCCAUGCCGCGUGUAUGAAGAAGGCCCUCGGGUUGUAAAGUACUUUCAGCGGGGAGGAAGGGAGUAAAGUUAAUACCUUUGCUCAUUGACGUUACCCGCAGAAGAAGCACCGGCUAACUCCGUGCCAGCAGCCGCGGUAAUACGGAGGGUGCAAGCGUUAAUCGGAAUUACUGGGCGUAAAGCGCACGCAGGCGGUUGAUUGAGUCAGAUGUGAAAUCCCCGGGCUUAACCCGGGAAUUGCAUCUGAUACUGGUCAGCUAGAGUCUUGUAGAGGGGGGUAGAAUUCCAUGUGUAGCGGUGAAAUGCGUAGAGAUGUGGAGGAAUACCGGUGGCGAAGGCGGCCCCCUGGACAAAGACUGACGCUCAGGUGCGAAAGCGUGGGGAGCAAACAGG